This 408-nucleotide transfer-messenger RNA is filed under the name Candidatus Uhrbacteria bacterium. It matches the Rfam family "transfer-messenger RNA". From Rfam's summary of the family: Bacterial tmRNA, also known as 10Sa RNA or SsrA, is named for its dual tRNA and mRNA-like properties. Its role is to liberate the mRNA from a stalled ribosome. To accomplish this part of the tmRNA is used as a reading frame that ends in a translation stop signal. The record is from RNAcentral. Lineage: Bacteria; Candidatus Uhriibacteriota.
GGGGAUGUUCAAUCGUCGAUCGAUCGUUGACAGCCCGUUCGUACCAUGCCGACACGCUCGCACCGUCGUUAAUGUGCGGGAAGUGAUACGUGCCAACACACUGGUCACGCGGCUCCGGACGAUGAUUGCGAAAGCUUUCACCGCUCCUCAGCUCGCUUUCGCCACGGCUUAAAUUCCGUGUGCGCAUCCGCCCGGCCGACUCCGGCUAGACCGAUCGCGGGUGUCACAAUAGCCGGGCCUUUGAUCGCGCGUUCAGAGCGAUCAUUCGGUGCUACCUGAACACUGUGGCCAGGGCUUUUCGCCCACUGUAUACCUGGUUGCAGCCCAAAUCACCGUGGGCUGAGCAUGGGAAUCCGUACGAGCGGCUCGUCCGUCGAGACGCGGGUGAAAGACCCGCCAUCUCCACCA